Molecule: ribosomal RNA, 465 nt
Filed under: uncultured bacterium
Lineage: Bacteria
Description: partial 16S ribosomal RNA
Rfam family: Bacterial small subunit ribosomal RNA
Source: RNAcentral
GACGAACGCUGGCGGCGUGCUUAACACAUGCAAGUCGAACGGAAAGGCCCUGCUUGCAGGGUACUCGAGUGGCGAACGGGUGAGUAACACGUGGGUGAUCUGCCCUGCACUUCGGGAUAAGCCUGGGAAACUGGGUCUAAUACCGGAUAGGAGCCAUUUUUAGUGGGAUGGUUGGAAAGUUUUUUCGGUGUAGGAUGAGCUCGCGGCCUAUCAGCUUGUUGGUGGGGUAAUGGCCUACCAAGGCGGCGACGGGUAGCCGGCCUGAGAGGGUGGACGGCCACAUUGGGACUGAGAGACGGCCCAGACUCCUACGGGAGGCAGCAGUGGGGAAGAUUGCACAAUGGGCGCAAGCCUGAUGCAGCGACGCCGCGUGGGGGAUGACGGCCUUCGGGUUGUAAACUCCUUUCGCUAGGGACGAAGCUUUUUGUGACGGUACCUAGAUAAGAAGCACCGGCUAACUACGUG